GAGGGUUGAGUUCCCUGCGAGCUCCCUUGAUUCCGCAACUUCACACGGGGUUAAAAAAUGGUAUGUGAAAGUGUUAUAAAAUUUUUAUAUAAAUUUAGUACAGAGUAGUUUCUAUAAUACACUUUAGGCAACAAAUUAUAUAUUAUGUGUUACCGAUAAUCCGAAUUGGUAUCUCAGCUGCCUUUCCUUGGCGGAUAAGUUCACCUUCUCAUCCCUUUUUGUAUUUGCCCCUCCUUUGCUUUUCUCUUUUCCCCUGCGCAAGACCAACUAAUGAUCGUCCUGCUUUCUUUUUACCUUCUCUAUUUCCUCAUUGCCCAUUUUUUUUUUUGGUUGUAAAGUUGGAUCUCCUCGUAUUAAUCUGAAUAUUGGGAUGGUGAAACGUUGAUGGAUCUUAUUAACAAAAGUGGAUAGAUUUUAGGUGUUAUUGCAGCAGUUGGAAUUUGGAACCUAUUGAAGCUUGUCGCUUUUCCUUUAAGACGAAUCCAAUAUAUUAUUGAUCAAUACGAAUGACACAAUUGGCAUCUCUAGGACCUAAAUAAGCAGCAAAGGAGGGAGUAAAGCAUUCUACUUAAUUGUUUGAUUAUUGAAUAUGUCAUUAUGCACGCAUUUUCCUAGCAUUUACUUUCGAGGUUGGCGAUCGCGCGCUUCAUAUAUUGUUUAAUGCUACUUUCAUUGAUGUUGUCAGGAGAAAAAAAGACAGGUCUCUAACUUACUAAAGGGACAAAUUUCCGUCGCCAUAAGUAGUCUAUUUAACGCCGCGUAUUAUUAAACGUGGA
RNAcentral lists this long non-coding RNA (776 nucleotides) under Gossypium barbadense (sea-island cotton). RNAcentral describes it as "long non-coding RNA (GBAR_LNC000265)". The record is from RNAcentral. Lineage: Eukaryota; Viridiplantae; Streptophyta; Magnoliopsida; Malvales; Malvaceae.